RNAcentral lists this long non-coding RNA (1331 nucleotides) under Equus caballus (horse). RNAcentral's name for it is "lncRNA (ENSECAG00000054284.1)". Lineage: Eukaryota; Metazoa; Chordata; Mammalia; Perissodactyla; Equidae. The record is from RNAcentral.
AGAUUAGAGUUCAAAACUCUGCUCAUUGGAAUCACCAGGAGGGCUAGUUAGAAGGCAGAUUACCAUGUCCUGGUGUAGAAAAUUCUGACUCAGGAAGUCUCAGGAUAAUUCCAUGAAUAUAUAACCCAAGUGCUUCCGGUGCAGAACGUCGGAAGCCUGACUUUUGGGAAUCCUUAGCCUUCAAGUUGACUCCAUAUUUUGAAGGCUAUAUCAUGUUGCUGAGAUGUCCUAUGUUGCAGAGUAGGUGGACCUGCUGAGCAAGUAGCUGUGUCUCUUUGCAAUUACUGAUGAGUUUGUUUUACAAAAAGAACACAAAGAUGCCAAGAUAUAUUGUUAUUGUAAAAUCCUGAGAGUGUGAGGACAGGGAAAAUAAGUGGAGACUGACUUAAGUUUUACAAAUGGGAGCAGCAUUCCUGAGCAAAGUUAAGCUAGGAAGCCAAUCACCAUCCAUCUCCAUACAAAGCAAAAUUCAAUCAAAAGCAAAAGUAUAUUAAAAAGAAGAUUAGCCCUGAGCUAACAUCUGCUGCCAAUCCUCCUCUUUUUGCUGAGGAAGACUGGCCCGCAGCUAAUAUUCAUGCCCAUCUACCUCCACUUUAUAUGUGGGACACCUACCACAGCAUGGCUUACCAAGUGCUGCCAUGUCCACACCAGAGAUCUGAACUGGCGAACUCCGGGCCACAGAAGCAAAACAUAUGCACUUAACCUCUGAGCCACCAGGCUGGCUCCACUAUUCUGUUUCUUGAUGUUACAAUAAAUAUCUUUUCAUUAAGAAGGAAUAAUUGGCUUCAAGCCCAGAAGAAAUACUCUAGUUUCCAAGUCCUAUCACUUUUAUAAUGACCUCAUGAUCUCUCAUACAUUCAGUGAAAUCUCUGCAUUAGUUUCCAUGAAGCCAGAAGCCCAGGAGCAAUGGCGGAGUGGGGCUGUCUGAAACCCCGUCUCUUUCUGUGAUACAGAUCCUAGCUCGGCUCAAUGUCUGCUCUUUUCAGUUCAUACCAAAACAGAUGGAGAAAGAUAGGGGGGAAAUGAUUAUACGUAUAUCUAGAACGUUAAUAUAAGAAAACUUAAAGAAGUUUAGUAUAAACAUUAUUAUCAAGUGAACAUAUAUAGAGAAAAAUAACAGCUUUCCUUAAUAUCACAUAAACAAAAAUAUGGUUAGCACAUUUCCCAAAGCCACAAGCCAAAAACAUGGUUACUUGAUUUAUUUAAUAAAAUAUCUUGCAAGUGUCUAGGCUUUAAAUCAAGAUUAUGUUAUGGAUAGAUCUAUACCUUUAGUGAGCUCGAAACCUAGUAGGAGAGAGAAACAUACAAACACCAUAUAAAAAAUGCUAUAA